CCUACGGGGGGCUGCAGUGGGGAAUUUUGCGCAAUGGACGAAAGUCUGACGCAGCAACGCCGCGUGGGUGAUGAAGGUCUUCGGACUGUAAAACCCUGUCGUCAGGGACGAAGGUUGGGGGGUUAAUAACCCCUUAGCUUGACGGUACCUGGAGAGGAAGCCCCGGCUAACUCUGUGCCAGCAGCCGCGGUAAUACAGAGGGGGCAAGCGUUAUUCGGAAUUAUUGGGCGUAAAGGGCGCGUAGGCGGUUUUUUAAGUCAGAUGUGUAAUCCCCG
This 275-nucleotide ribosomal RNA is filed under the name uncultured Geothrix sp. RNAcentral describes it as "partial 16S ribosomal RNA". It matches the Rfam family "Bacterial small subunit ribosomal RNA", at positions 338 to 605 of the family's 1533-position model. Lineage: Bacteria; Pseudomonadati; Acidobacteriota; Holophagae; Holophagales; Holophagaceae. The record is from RNAcentral.